AUCGGUGACAGGUGGUGCAUGGUUGUCGUCAGCUCGUGUCGUGAGAUGUUGGUUAAGUCCCGCAACGAGCGCAACCCCUAUUGUUAGUUGCCAUCAUUCAGUUGGGCACUCUAGCGAGACUGCCGGUAAUAAACCGGAGGAAGGUGGGGAUGACGUCAAAUCAUCAUGCCCCUUAUGACCUGGGCUACACACGUGCUACAAUGGUUGGUACAACGAGUUGCGAGUCGGUGACGGCGAGCUAAUCUCUUAAAGCCAAUCUCAGUUCGGAUUGUAGGCUGCAACUCGCCUACAUGAAGUCGGAAUCGCUAGUAAUCGCGGAUCAGCACGCCCGCGGUUCCGAAUACGUUCCGGGCCUU
RNAcentral lists this ribosomal RNA (356 nucleotides) under uncultured Streptococcus sp. RNAcentral describes it as "bacterial SSU rRNA". It matches the Rfam family "Bacterial small subunit ribosomal RNA", at positions 1027 to 1382 of the family's 1533-position model. The record is from RNAcentral. Lineage: Bacteria; Bacillati; Bacillota; Bacilli; Lactobacillales; Streptococcaceae.